CCGAACCCAACCCGUUUCACCCGUUAACCUUUUUUUUUCCCACGAAUAAGUUGCUUUGACAGCAUAAAUGUAAGCCAAUCCACAACUUCCCUUCUUGACCUCCUUUUAAAGUUGGCACUAUUGGAGCUCUCGAUUCCGUGCACUUGCAAAAACUCCUCAGAAACAACAUAGAACAUGUGCCUAACACUCCUUUCAGUACCCACAACUGCAAGAAUGGAUUCUCCAGAAGAAUGCUUCAAGAAAUAGUGAACCACACGGUUGCCCAUCUCUUGCGAAACAAAGUGCUCUUUCCACUCCACGAAAAAGUGACCAUUUCCAGGCAUUUUGACCGAGCGCACAAAGAGGGCUUAACGAAACACCAGAACUAACGGGUCUUAACGAAUGGUUAACGGGUUUCGCGAGUUCACC
This 408-nucleotide long non-coding RNA is filed under the name Malus domestica (apple). Its description in RNAcentral is "long non-coding RNA (MDOM_LNC008019)". The record is from RNAcentral. Lineage: Eukaryota; Viridiplantae; Streptophyta; Magnoliopsida; Rosales; Rosaceae.